Molecule: ribosomal RNA, 398 nt
Filed under: uncultured bacterium
Lineage: Bacteria
Description: bacterial SSU rRNA
Rfam family: Bacterial small subunit ribosomal RNA
Source: RNAcentral
GGAAUAUUGGACAAUGGCCGAAAGCCUGAUCCAGCAAUGCCGCGUGAGUGAUGAAGGCCUUAGGGUUGUAAAGCUCUUUUACCCGGGAUGAUAAUGACAGUACCGGGAGAAUCAGCUCCGGCUCACUCCGUGCCAGCAGCCGCGGUAAUACGGAGGGUGCCAGCGUUGUUCGGAAUUACUGGGCGUAAAGCGCACGUAGGCGGCGCCGCAAGUCAGGGGUGAAAUCCCGGGGCUCAACCCCGGAACUGCCCUUGAAACUGCAGUGCUAGAAUCCUGGAGAGGCGAGUGGAAUUCCGAGUGUAGAGGUGAAAUUCGUAGAUAUUCGGAAGAACACCAGUGGCGAAGGCGACUCGCUGGACAGGUAUUGACGCUGAGGUGCGAAAGCGUGGGGAGCAAAC